UAUAGCAGACAGUUGUCCGAGAUGUCUGUUGAUCGAAGUUGGAUGGAAUGUAGGGUAGCCACUGAUAGGAGUGGGCUUAGCUCUGAGUAUCGUAGUGGGGUUGAACAGUUUCUCAACUUUGCGUUUGAGCAAGUCAGUGGCGAUGAGAUCAGAUGUCCUUGUAAGAGGUGUGUGAAUGAAGUGUAGAAGGAAAUGAGUGAUGUCAUGUGAGAAUUAUUUUCGUAUGGGUUCAAGCAGGGUUAUACGACAUGGAUCUAUCAUGGGGAAACCUAGUUGGAUGAACAUGAAUCAGAAUCGGAAUCCAGAGGUGAC
Molecule: long non-coding RNA, 312 nt
Filed under: Panax ginseng (ginseng)
Lineage: Eukaryota; Viridiplantae; Streptophyta; Magnoliopsida; Apiales; Araliaceae
Description: long non-coding RNA (PGIN_LNC011145)
Source: RNAcentral